GGAGAAUUGAGGGGGGCUGCUCCUAGUACGAGAGGACCGGAGUGGACGCAUCACUGGUGUUCGGGUUGUCAUGCCAAUGGCACUGCCCGGUAGCUAAAUGCGGAAGAGAUAAGUGCUGAAAGCAUCUAAGCACGAAACUUGCCCCGAGAUGAGUUCUCCCUGAGACUUUAAGUCUCCUGAAGGAACGUUGAAGACGACGACGUUGAUAGGCCGGGUGUGUAAGCGCAGCGAUGCGUUGAGCUAACCGGUACUAAUGAACCGUGAGGCUUAACCUUACAACGCCGAAG
This 287-nucleotide ribosomal RNA is filed under the name Acinetobacter baumannii. RNAcentral describes it as "partial 23S ribosomal RNA". It matches the Rfam family "Bacterial large subunit ribosomal RNA", at positions 2656 to 2925 of the family's 2925-position model. Lineage: Bacteria; Pseudomonadati; Pseudomonadota; Gammaproteobacteria; Moraxellales; Moraxellaceae. RNAcentral also lists the same sequence under 1 other name. The record is from RNAcentral.